This 467-nucleotide long non-coding RNA is filed under the name Chinchilla lanigera (long-tailed chinchilla). RNAcentral's name for it is "lncRNA (ENSCLAG00000023011.1)". Lineage: Eukaryota; Metazoa; Chordata; Mammalia; Rodentia; Chinchillidae. The record is from RNAcentral.
GUGUCCCUCUGAUAAGAUUGCCUAAACUAGGUCAGUGCGCAUCACAUAAUAAAUCAUCCCAUUCUUUCCCUGUCCCCUGACUAACACUCCUGUACAAAAAUGUUGCAAGGGCUUUUCUCCUACAUCUUUCUCCUCAUGUCCUUGAGUUACAAGUAAAUAGCUGCAGAGUCUCAGCUCGGGGCUGAUUCCCUGAGGCUCUCUUCUGCUGAGGAAGCAGCCCCGCUGGAUUGUCACUGAUUGAACUAAAUCUCAUCUCCAAGUGAUCUUUUUCAUCCUCUGUGCUUCACGGUUGCAGACUAUGACACAGUCCCACUGCGUGGCGGGUGGACAAAUGGUGACGAGAAGGAAUAGGAACCAGGCUUUGUAAUUUCAGAAAUCUCAUUGGAAGAGGUUGGAAGGAGUUACCUAGAGGCCUUGUCUUGAGGUAAAGAGAUAAAAUUGACGUGAUAUUUUUUAUGUUGGCUGCA